UACCCAUGAUGUGGACACUUCAAGAGUAGCCCAUUGAAUCGCUUCCAUGUUUCGAAAAACUGCUCAUCCUAUCUCUGGGUAAAAUCUGAUAUUUUCCUGCGAAU
The sequence is a small nucleolar RNA, 104 nucleotides long. It matches the Rfam family "Plant small nucleolar RNA R71". From Rfam's summary of the family: R71 is a member of the C/D box family of snoRNAs containing the C (UGAUGA) and D (CUGA) box motifs. Multiple nearly identical copies of this snoRNA have been identified in Arabidopsis, and it is thought to function as a 2'-O-ribose methylation guide for 18S ribosomal RNA. The record is from Rfam.